This 74-nucleotide transfer RNA is filed under the name Polyangiaceae bacterium. Its description in RNAcentral is "tRNA-Gln". It matches the Rfam family "tRNA". From Rfam's summary of the family: Transfer RNA (tRNA) molecules are approximately 80 nucleotides in length. Their secondary structure includes four short double-helical elements and three loops (D, anti-codon, and T loops). Further hydrogen bonds mediate the characteristic L-shaped molecular structure. tRNAs have two regions of fundamental functional importance: the anti-codon, which is responsible for specific mRNA codon recognition, and the 3' end, to which the tRNAs corresponding amino acid is attached (by aminoacyl-tRNA synthetases). tRNAs cope with the degeneracy of the genetic code in two manners: having more than one tRNA (with a specific anti-codon) for a particular amino acid; and 'wobble' base-pairing, i.e. permitting non-standard base-pairing at the 3rd anti-codon position. The record is from RNAcentral. Lineage: Bacteria; Pseudomonadati; Myxococcota; Polyangiales; Polyangiaceae.
UCCGGCGUCGUCUAAUGGCAGGACGGGGGACUUUGGAUCCUCUAAUCGUGGUUCGAGUCCACGCGCCGGAACCA